RNAcentral lists this ribosomal RNA (253 nucleotides) under uncultured bacterium. RNAcentral describes it as "partial 16S ribosomal RNA". It matches the Rfam family "Bacterial small subunit ribosomal RNA", at positions 524 to 776 of the family's 1533-position model. The record is from RNAcentral.
UACGUAGGGGGCAAGCGUUGUCCGGAAUCAUUGGGCGUAAAGCGCGUGUAGGCGGUCCGGUAAGUCGGUUGUGAAAGUCCAGGGCUCAACCCUGGGAUGCCGAUCGAUACUGCCGGACUAGAGUCCGGAAGAGGCGAGUGGAAUUCCCGGUGUAGCGGUGAAAUGCGCAGAUAUCGGGAGGAACACCAAUGGCGAAGGCAGCUCGCUGGGACGGUACUGACGCUCAGGCACGAAAGCGUGGGGAGCAAACAGG